GCCGGUGUGAUGGAAUGGUAGACGUAGCGGAUUCAAAAUCCGCCGGGGGCGACUCCGUGUGGGUUCGAGUCCCACCACC
This 79-nucleotide transfer RNA is filed under the name Firmicutes bacterium CAG:240. It matches the Rfam family "tRNA". Rfam says of the family: Transfer RNA (tRNA) molecules are approximately 80 nucleotides in length. Their secondary structure includes four short double-helical elements and three loops (D, anti-codon, and T loops). The record is from Rfam by way of RNAcentral. Lineage: Bacteria; Bacillati; Bacillota.